ACACACCCUCCGUUGAUUGGUCAAAAGAAUCGUCACUUCCAGGCGACAUGGGGAUAAAAACAAACAAACAGUACCCGCGAGGUAUUAUUCUGGUGCAUGUCGUGCAAAACUUUAGCUUGGGCGAACAAGGAGGUGGAGACGUUCCGAAAUUGUUGCUGGACAACUUCCAUGGUAGCUCUUGGUUUAUUGUGCCGCGUUCCUCUGUCCCAUUGUGUUUUACUGAGCAGGCCACACUGUGUCGCGCUGCUAUGAUGUCACGAUGUUUGCGUAGCUGCCGCGGCCAUCGACAUCUGGCCUACCAUAAGGGUACUGUCGGCGGUGAAACGCGACCUCGGAACUGAGCUGGGCUAUAACCCCCCCUCGCUACUGGACUGAGGCGAACCGAACCACACCCUCCGGCCUGCCUGGCCAGGAAGCCACGACAAGCAGACUGGAACAGAGUGAGGUUCCUCCGGGUCUGCACGUCACGCUGCUCUUCCAACUUGGUGAGAGCCCCCGCUCUGAAGAAAACCUGAAGGGAACGCGGAAACAGUGCAUAAUAUUGAUAGAUGUUGAUCAAAUUUCCCGUUAUGCUUCCUACAAUCAAUGAGAUAAAUGCAAUGGACAUGCCUGGCAGCUAACGGGAAAACUUGAAAUUGAAAUCUCCUGCUGCUAUAUUACUUUGACUUUCAGUUAAGACAAAGAAAGCCCACAUACGUCUUAAGCAAUCUUAAGUAUAAUUUUAAUAUUGGUAGCAAUAAAAACUGAUAGGAAGAACAUAUAAGAAUAGUUUUCACUUACUCUACUAAGCCCCAUGUGGUAGUUGGUCUUCUCCAGUUCCAAAGAGUCCAACAGCUCCUCCACUGCCUACACACACACACACACACACACACACACACACACACACACACACACACACACACACACACACACACACACACACACACACACACA
This is a long non-coding RNA of Gadus morhua (Atlantic cod), 933 nucleotides long. RefSeq lists it as uncharacterized. Lineage: Eukaryota; Metazoa; Chordata; Actinopteri; Gadiformes; Gadidae. The record is from RefSeq and is a predicted model, not a curated record. The transcript has 2 exons.